AAAUUGAAGAGUUUGAUCAUGGCUCAGAUUGAACGCUGGCGGCAGGCCUAACACAUGCAAGUCGAGCGGAAACGAGUUAUCAGAACCUUCGGGGGACGAUAACGGCGUCGAGCGGCGGACGGGUGAGUAAUGCCUAGGAAAUUGCCCUGAUGUGGGGGAUAACCAUUGGAAACGAUGGCUAAUACCGCAUGAUGCCUACGGGCCAAAGAGGGGGACCUUCGGGCCUCUCGCGUCAGGAUAUGCCUAGGUGGGAUUAGCUAGUUGGUGAGGUAAGGGCUCACCAAGGCGACGAUCCCUAGCUGGUCUGAGAGGAUGAUCAGCCACACUGGAACUGAGACACGGUCCAGACUCCUACGGGAGGCAGCAGUGGGGAAUAUUGCACAAUGGGCGCAAGCCUGAUGCAGCCAUGCCGCGUGUGUGAAGAAGGCCUUCGGGUUGUAAAGCACUUUCAGUCGUGAGGAAGGCGGUGUAGUUAAUAGCUGCAUCGUUUGACGUUAGCGACAGAAGAAGCACCGGCUAACUCCGUGCCAGCAGCCGCGGUAAUACGGAGGGUGCGAGCGUUAAUCGGAAUUACUGGGCGUAAAGCGCAUGCAGGUGG
Molecule: ribosomal RNA, 598 nt
Filed under: Vibrio parahaemolyticus
Lineage: Bacteria; Pseudomonadati; Pseudomonadota; Gammaproteobacteria; Vibrionales; Vibrionaceae
Description: bacterial SSU rRNA
Rfam family: Bacterial small subunit ribosomal RNA
Source: RNAcentral